ACUAGUUACGGAUAAAACAUUAUAUACUGUAUUUGCCAGCAUAUGAGAUGUACAUUUUUCUUUGAAAAUAGAUCUGAAAAACAGAGUGCAUCUUAUACGUCGAUACUCAGUUUUUGAUUUCAUUAAUUUCUGGAAAUUUCCUUUAUUUGGAGUUAUGUGAUUUUUUCCUGGUUUCCUUGCACAGUGUUACAGUCACGCAGAGUUCAGUGAAUGCGCAUGCGCUCUCAUAGACGAUCACAGCUGGGUUUUUUUAAACUUUUCCUGUUUUUGGAAACGACUUUUAAGUGUGUGAAAUUUCUAUUGUUAAAUUUUCUUAAAUUUGUUGGCAAGUUAAUGCUCAAAAACAACGUCGGCAUUGCUACAGCAUAGCAUACAAGCUACAUGUGAUUACGUAUGCUAAGGAACAUGGAAACAGCUGCAGAGAGGCAUUUCGGGCCACCCCCAACUGAGAAAAUGAUAAGAACUUGGUGGAAUCAGGAAGAGGAUUUAAAGAAAGCAACUCACAGUAAACACAACUUAUGAAGGGGAACUGCACAACGGCAGAGUUGAAAACUUGGAUUUUAGCGGAAAAGCAGGACUUUCAGUCUCUACAAAAGUGAUUAUUGUGAAAUGUGAUCAAGUGAUAGUAGUAACAACUGAUAGAGAGAUUGUCGAUUUUACUGGAUCAACCUCAUGAUGUUUAAGAUUCAUGAAGAGAAACCAGCUAUGUAUGCUGGCUGAAACAAACAUAUCACAAAAGAUGCCAGACAAAUAUGAACAAACAAUUAUUGAAUUUCAUUGCUUUGUCAUUAAUGCACAAAAAAAAGGGGGAAAUUUUGAACUUGCACAAAUAGGAAACAUGGACAAGGUUCCUCUGACUUUUGAUGUGCACUAAAACAAAACUCUAAAAAGUGUUGCUCUUAAAACUUCAGGGCACGAAAAAAUUCACUGCACAGGUGUUUAAAUCCUGCUGUGCUGAUGGAACAAACGUGCUACCACUAUUGAUUAUUAAAAGUAAGACACUAUCCAAAGAAAAUUUACCUAAAAAAGUGUUUAUACAUGUUCAUACAAAAGGCCGGAAGGAUGGAGGAAGAAGAAUGUUAUAGAUAGAUAAAAUUUGGUCGAGGAGCCCUGGCGGACUGUUGAAGAAACCUGCCUUUCUAGUAUGGGAUCAGUUUCACAGAACAGAAGAUGUUAAAAGUAAAUUUAAAAAACUGAUACUCAGUUAAUUGUUAUUCCAGAAGGCCUAACUAGUCAGCUUCAACCUUUAGAUGUCUGCAUUAAUAAAUCAUUUAAGGGAUUUAUGAAGAAGUUUAACAACUGGAUGCAGUCUUCAAAUUUUGAGGUUACACCAUCAGGAAGAAGGAAGAGGCCUACUAUUUCACAAGUUUGUGAAUGGGUCAAAGGUUCAUGGUAUGCUGUGAAAAUAGAGUCAUAUUGAAUACUUAUAAUGUCAUAAAAUAAAAGUAUUUAACUUGCCCUUUCCAUUAAAUUUUUCUGGUAAGUGUUUGUUUAUAAUUGACUGUAUAUUCUAGUAAGUUCAAUACCAUACUUCACUAUGAAUAACCUUAUAGUUUAGAACAAUCACCUGCAGGAAAUUUGUAGUCAUAAUGUCCUAAACAGAGCUUUUGGCAGAAUUGGAGUCCAUAAAAAGAUGACAGAAAUCGAUGAAAGUCUUUUUACAUAGUGCAGAAACAAAGCGGUUUAAAUACUUCUGAAGCAGUGGCUAUUCAGUGUAUUAUGCAGAGUGACUGAUAGUGCAUUAUUUUAAGAACUGCAGACAGAAGUGCAGCUUAGAGUUCUGCAUCAAUGUUUGCUGCAACUUUGACGGGAUCUCUGUCAACUUUCGUCGUCUUAAUACUGUUUUUGCUUUCAUUUGAUUUUGUUUUUCUUUUUUGUCAUGAGGAUUCCCCUCCAGAUAUCUUCUAUAAUCCUGUAUUAUAGGCAAAAAUUGUAAGUUAUUUAUGUAAAUAAAAAUUGUAUCAUUCCA
RNAcentral lists this long non-coding RNA (1969 nucleotides) under Stegodyphus dumicola. RNAcentral's name for it is "uncharacterized LOC118194284". Lineage: Eukaryota; Metazoa; Arthropoda; Arachnida; Araneae; Eresidae. The record is from RNAcentral.